AGUGAACGCUGGCGGCGUGCUUAACACAUGCAAGUCGAACGAGAACGGAUUAUAGCUUGCUAUAAUUGUCAGCUAAGUGGCGCACGGGUGAGUAAUGUAUAGGUAAUAUGCCUCUUACUAAGGGAUAACAAUUGGAAACGAUUGCUAAUACCUUAUAUUCCUUUUUAUCAAAAGAUAAAAAGGGAAAGAUUUAUUGGUAAGAGAUUAGCCUGUAUUGUAUCAGUUAGUUGGUGGGGUAAUGGCCUACCAAGACGAUGACGCAUAACUGGUUUGAGAGGAUAAUCAGUCACACUGGAACUGAGACACGGUCCAGACUCCUACGGGAGGCAGCAGUGGGGAAUAUUGCACAAUGGACGAAAGUCUGAUGCAGCAACGCCGCGUGGAGGAUGACACAUUUCGGUGCGUAAACUCCUUUUAUAUAAGAAGAUAAUGACGGUAUUAUAUGAAUAAGCACCGGCUAACUCCGUGCCAGCAGCCGCCGUAA
This 484-nucleotide ribosomal RNA is filed under the name uncultured bacterium. RNAcentral's name for it is "partial 16S ribosomal RNA". It matches the Rfam family "Bacterial small subunit ribosomal RNA", at positions 29 to 523 of the family's 1533-position model. The record is from RNAcentral.